UUCAGCCUGCCUAUCUUGGUAUUUUUAGCUAUCAAAAACUAUAUAUUGUUUUCUCAAAUGUUUCAAGUAACUCUUUUCCUGAUUUAUCUCAACUUUGUGAAAUAAUCACAUGACUCUCUUAUUCUAUUUCAUAGGUAAUCCAUUUUUUUUAAUGUGAAAUUUACUAAGGCCUACAUAUUUAUUUGGAUGCUUUUAACACUCCUGGAAUGUCUUUGUUAACUUUUUAAUCCACCCCAAUAUUUUGCUGAAUCUUUUACCUGUACAGUGUGUGGUCAG
This 276-nucleotide long non-coding RNA is filed under the name Elaeis guineensis (African oil palm). RNAcentral's name for it is "long non-coding RNA (EGUI_LNC016276)". Lineage: Eukaryota; Viridiplantae; Streptophyta; Magnoliopsida; Arecales; Arecaceae. The record is from RNAcentral.